CCUAAAGGCGCAAUGAAAGUAAAGGUUGUCCUUGUGUCGACCGAGGGAGGAUGAGUUGCGUUACGAUGACGGCUCCGCACUCCCGGGGCGUCUCAUUCUCAUUAUGAGGAGAGGCGCACCUAGAGCGUACACGUUGGGACCCGAAAGAUGGUGAACUAUGCCUGGUCAGGAUGAAGUCAGGGGAAACCCUGAUGGAGGUCCGUAGCGAUUCUGACGUGCAAAUCGAUCGUCGGAACUGGGUAUAGGGGCGAAAGACUAAUCGAACCAUCUAGUAGCUGGUUCCCUCCGAAGUUUCCCUCAGGAUAGCUGGCACUCGUUUAUUAUAUUAUAACGAGUCUCAUCUGGUAAAGCGAAUGAUUAGAGGCCUUGGGAUCGAAACGAUCUCAACCUAUUCUCAAACUUUAAAUGGGUGAGAUCUCUGGCUUGCUUGAAUAUUUGAAGCCAUGAGAUUUCGGAUCAGAGUGCCAAGUGG
This 472-nucleotide ribosomal RNA is filed under the name Euphorinae gen. sp. 1 BJS-2011. Its description in RNAcentral is "eukaryotic LSU rRNA". It matches the Rfam family "Eukaryotic large subunit ribosomal RNA", at positions 707 to 1129 of the family's 3401-position model. The record is from RNAcentral. Lineage: Eukaryota; Metazoa; Arthropoda; Insecta; Hymenoptera; Braconidae.